Molecule: long non-coding RNA, 765 nt
Filed under: Mustela putorius furo (domestic ferret)
Lineage: Eukaryota; Metazoa; Chordata; Mammalia; Carnivora; Mustelidae
Description: lncRNA (ENSMPUG00000029927.1)
Source: RNAcentral
AAAAUUUUAGGAAAAAAAAAAAUCAUGCCCAGUCACGUGUUCCUUCUGCCAUCCCUGCAGGCCUGUCACCAUCUGCUCCGGGCCAGCUGGAGCGCCCACAGCUGCAGUCCACUCCUGAGUUGCCGGGGACAGAAGCCGCUGGGCCGGCCUGCAGAGACUUGAGAGGGAGACCCCAGCGUCUGAACUGGCACCCGCUGGAGGGGAAGGGCUUGGAGAAACUGUUUGGGGCUCAUCCCCUGGUUCCAGACCGUCCUUUUGGGGACGUUUGGUUCCUGAACAGUUUUGGAGGAUGGAGACCGUGUCACUCUGCAGCAGAGGGAAGGUUUGUCUGCUGUCCGGUAAAAUGACAUGAACGGUUCUUUUGGGGCAGAGGCCACACCUAGUAGGAAACAUCAGGUUCUCUCCAUCCAGGUGUCCUUUCUGGGAACCUUCGGUCUGCGCAGGUGUCCUCUGGCUCCCUCCAGACCCUUCGUGGCCGCUGUUCUUGCUGUUCUCAGCCUUUGUUCUCUGCAGCCAGUUAGAAUUCGAGUCAAUUCCGUGGCCCACCAGGCUGCCCUGCUCCAGUCAAGGCACGUGACUUCCGGCUCCGCGGGGAGCGGCCCGGACGGGGUCCUGCCGAGACCCGCCCGGACCGGGAACCUGGUUUUGCUUCCUCCCCCCGGGCUUUGCCUCCACCUCCACCGCCGGCCUGGAGCGUUUCUGUUUCCAUCUCUCUCCCCGUCCCUGUGGCUCCGCCCUUCCAAGGCCNNNNNNNNNNNNNNNNNN